ACUCUUUCCAGGAGAUCCCUGUCUUUUUUGUACCGGGGAGCCCAGAACUGGACACAGUACUCCAGGGUGGCAAUCCUAUCUUUUGCCUUACUUCUUCCACCAAGUUCCAUCUUGAACUCCAUGAUCUCAUGGUCGCUGCAUCCCAAGCUGCCCCCAACCUUCACAUCCCUAACAAACCCAUCUGCUUAUAAGAACAAGGUCCAGAAACACCCCCGCCUUGUCAGCUCCUCCACCACCUGCAUCAGAAAAUUAUCUCCAAUGCAUUGUUUGUCCGUUUGGACUGCAUGUGCCUGGCUGAGUUGCUUUCCCAACAGAUGUCCAGAUGAUUAAAACCCCCAUGAGAACCAGCGUCCAGGAUCGUGAGGCUACUUCCAGCUGCUUGUAGAAGGCUUCAUCGACCUCCUCCUCGUGAUAUGCUGAGCUGCAGCACACCCCCACAGCAGCGUCCCCCAUACCAGCCUGCCCCUUAGGCUCUCCACACCUUCUUUGCCUUCCCCCAGGUGGAGCUGGGUACAUUCUAAUUGCUCUCUCACAUAGAAUUUCACUUAUCUUAUAGUUCCUGUAAGUGGCAGCUUGAUUAAUCCUGGCUCCCAGAAGGAUCCUGGGUGUUCCUCUGCUGGUGCAUCACAAACUGGGGCAGGAGGCAGCCAUGGACCCCGCUGGGCCCCGCAGGGCAGGAGCAGUGGAGGAAGCGUGGUUUAACUCUGCUGGGUUUUACACGGGGUUUUACCCAGCUGGGCAGCCGAGCUCCACCUCAGCCGCUCUCUCACUGCCCCUCCUCAAAGCAGAGAAAAUACGAUGCAAAGGGCUCAAGGGGUGAGAUAAGGAUGGGGAGAUCACCCAACAGUUAUCACGGGGAAAACAGACCCCGCAGAGGGAGAUUAGUAACAUGUAACACCUCUUAGUAACCAGAUGGAGCUGUGAGAAACAACCACAACAAAUAAAGACACCUUCCCCUCCUCGAGCAGCGCAGGGCAAUGGGGGCUGCGCUCA
Anas platyrhynchos (mallard) is the source of this 993-nucleotide long non-coding RNA. RefSeq lists it as uncharacterized. The record is from RefSeq and is a predicted model, not a curated record. NCBI's taxonomy places the organism in Eukaryota, Metazoa, Chordata, Aves, Anseriformes, Anatidae.